Molecule: ribosomal RNA, 253 nt
Filed under: uncultured bacterium
Lineage: Bacteria
Description: partial 16S ribosomal RNA
Rfam family: Bacterial small subunit ribosomal RNA
Source: RNAcentral
GACAUAGGUCGCAAACGUUAUCCGGAAUUAUUGGGCGUAAAGGGCGCGUAGGCGGCUAGAUGUGUCAAAGGUGAAAUCCCUCGGCUCAACUGAGGAACUGCCUUUGAAACUGUCUGGCUUGAGGCCGGGAGAGGGUAGCGGAAUUCCCAGUGUAGCGGUGAAAUGCGUAGAUAUUGGGAGGAACACCAGUGGCGAAGGCGGCUACCUGGACCGGUUCUGACGCUGAGGCGCGAAAGCGUGGGUAGCAAACAGG